UGGUUCUGGCAUCGAUGAAGAACGCAGCGAAAUGCGAUAAGUAAUGUGAAUUGCAGAAUUCAGUGAAUCAUCGAAUCUUUGAACGCACAUUGCGCCCGCCAGUAUUCUGGCGGGCAUGCCUGUUCGAGCGUCAUUUCAACCCUCAAGCCCUGCUUGGUGUUGGGGACCGGCCCCCGCCCUCCUCCCUCUCUAGAGGGGAGAGGCGAGCCGCCCCCGAAAUGAAUUGGCGGUCUCGUCGCUGCCUCCUCUGCGUAGUAACAUACCACCUCGCAUCAGGAGCGCGACGCGGCCACUGCCGUAAAACGCCCAAAACUUUUUAGAGUUGACCUCGAAUCAGGUAGGAAUACCCGCUGA
This 354-nucleotide unclassified non-coding RNA is filed under the name uncultured fungus. RNAcentral's name for it is "partial contains 5.8S ribosomal RNA and internal transcribed spacer 2". The stretch from base 1 to 133 matches the Rfam family "5.8S ribosomal RNA", at positions 22 to 154 of the family's 154-position model. Lineage: Eukaryota; Fungi. The record is from RNAcentral.